This 239-nucleotide long non-coding RNA is filed under the name Sorghum bicolor (sorghum). Its description in RNAcentral is "long non-coding RNA (SBIC_LNC014671)". The record is from RNAcentral. Lineage: Eukaryota; Viridiplantae; Streptophyta; Magnoliopsida; Poales; Poaceae.
GGGCGUGAUCACUCUUCUACCUUCAGUUAUGCUUUUGUGGGGAUUGACCAUGGAACUGGCAUGUAUUAUGAACUGAGUUGGAGUUGUUUCAAAACUACUUUGUUUCCGCUACUGCUAUGGUUUGUAAUAACCUCUUUUAAACUCUGAUGUGAUGUAAAACUAUGUUCUGUGUUGAAUGUUGUAAUCUGUGAUGGUGAUGCUUGAUCAUGUACGAUCUUGGUUGUAUGUUGGUUGAAUCG